This 831-nucleotide long non-coding RNA is filed under the name Theobroma cacao (cacao). RNAcentral describes it as "long non-coding RNA (TCAC_LNC002113)". Lineage: Eukaryota; Viridiplantae; Streptophyta; Magnoliopsida; Malvales; Malvaceae. The record is from RNAcentral.
GGAGAAUAGUGAAGUUCCUAUGUAACGACAUGCUAACCUAACAAUUGCCAAGAUAAAGUAACACAGUGAAGAGGUCACUAAAAGGUACAAAGCUCUAAUCUGUCUUCAAUCAGCUGUAUCUGAGAAUAUUUUUUCUAGAAUUAUUAAUUUCAAAAAUCCCAAGUUAGUUUAGGAUACACUUAAAGAAGAAUUUCAGGGCAAUGAAACUACCAAAAUGCCUUAGAUUGUGAAUCUUACUAGAAAGUUUGAAACUUUGAAAAUGAGGAAUAAUGACAGAAUACAAGCUUAUUCUGAUAGAGUUCUUAGGAUUGUUAAUGAGCUAAGGUUGAUAAGAGAAAUAGUUACUGAGAGGAGAAUUGUAGCUAAGUUUCUCAUUAGCUUACUCAAACAAUUUGAAUCUAAGAUCACCUCCUUAGAAGACUCUAAGGAUUUGACUAAGCUUAUUGUAAAUGAGCUCAUUAAUAAUCUACUAGUUCUUGAGCAGAUGAGAGCCAUGAGAUCUGAAUAUGUGGAGAAUGCACUAGUUGCAAAAACUAAGGGAUUGAAAGUAAAAAUGGGAGGUUCAAAGAAGGCUGAACAAAAAGGGAGAAACAAAAGUGGAGAAGAGAAGCAGGAAAAUUUAACAGAUAAAUAUCCACCUUGCUCUAUAUGUAAAAAGAAAAAUCAUUUUGAGAAGUACUAUUGGUAUAGGCCCACAGUUAAAUGUAGGGCAUGCUAGUAGAUGGGACAUGUAAAGAAGGUAUGCAAAGCAAAGAAAACUGAAUCUACAACUUGAGCAGCUGUAGAAAAACAAGAAGACAAUGAUGAUGAGGUUCUGUUUAUGGCUACAAU